RNAcentral lists this ribosomal RNA (253 nucleotides) under uncultured prokaryote. Its description in RNAcentral is "partial 16S ribosomal RNA". It matches the Rfam family "Bacterial small subunit ribosomal RNA", at positions 523 to 775 of the family's 1533-position model. The record is from RNAcentral.
AUACGUAGGGCGCAAGCGUUAUCCGGAAUUAUUGGGCGUAAAGAGCUCGUAGGCGGUUUGUCGCGUCUGCUGUGAAAGACCGGGGCUCAACUCCGGUUCUGCAGUGGGUACGGGCAGACUAGAGUGAUGUAGGGGAGACUGGAAUUCCUGGUGUAGCGGUGAAAUGCGCAGAUAUCAGGAGGAACACCGAUGGCGAAGGCAGGUCUCUGGGCAUUAACUGACGCUGAGGAGCGAAAGCAUGGGGAGCGAACAG